This is a non-coding RNA of Acanthosepion pharaonis, 110 nucleotides long. The record is from the annotation of a GenBank genome assembly. Lineage: Eukaryota; Metazoa; Mollusca; Cephalopoda; Sepiida; Sepiidae.
ACUGCCAUAUCACGUUGAAACACCGGUUCCUGUACGACCACCGAAGUUAAGCAACGCCGAACCUGGUCAGUACUUCGAUGAGUGACCGCAUGAAAAUACCAGGUACUGUA